UACGUAGGGGGCAAGCGUUGUUCGGAAUUACUGGGCGUAAAGGGCGCGUAGGCGGCACGGCAAGUCAGGAGUGAAAGGCCUGGGCUCAACCGAGGAACUGCUUUUGAGACUGCCGAGCUAGAGUGCAGAAGGGGCAACUGGAAUUCCCAGUGUAGCGGUGAAAUUCGUAGAUAUUCGCAAGAACACCAGUGGCGAAGGCGGCUCACUGGCCCGAUACUGACGCUGAGGCACGAAAGCGUGGGGAGCAAACAGG
RNAcentral lists this ribosomal RNA (253 nucleotides) under uncultured bacterium. RNAcentral's name for it is "partial 16S ribosomal RNA". It matches the Rfam family "Bacterial small subunit ribosomal RNA", at positions 524 to 776 of the family's 1533-position model. The record is from RNAcentral.